Molecule: long non-coding RNA, 1010 nt
Organism: Oreochromis aureus
Lineage: Eukaryota; Metazoa; Chordata; Actinopteri; Cichliformes; Cichlidae
Source: Ensembl
GUGCACAAAGCAUCCAACAGACCUGGUGAAUAAUGAUGCGUGUGCGUGGGCCAUCUUCUCCAGGUCUUGUCUGCUUUUUAAAAAGAAGACAAGACCAGAAGCUCAAUUCGGAGAUGAAUUGAGUCGAGCAUCGAGUGUCUCUUCAAGGACCUUCGUCAAAUCUCAGAGGACUGUGCAGACCAAAAGAUCUCAGAGUUUAUUGCAAAGUCUUCAAGGCAGCAGGCUUCUCGUGUUCCGGUGCUGCUCUCGCUGCUCCGCGGUACAAACGCUCACACCCGCUCCUGGACAACCGAAGAGUCGCCUGUGGACCGGUGGAGGGCUGGAGGACGGUUCCGCAGCACCGGGACUAAACAAACCUCCGCCCCGCUCACAGUGGACCGGACUGACGACUGCUGGGACAAGAGGUAUUUGACUAGACCCAGUCAAGGAUUCUGGGCAUGCAACCUACACAAACAAAAGAAAGCAACCGCAUCUGCUCGACAUGGAUGAUAUGACGUGAAGAAAUGUAAUCUAUGAUAUGCUGAUUAUCUGAAAAGUGGGGAUAACUUAUUUUUUUUAUCAUUUUAUCUUGAAGACGUCAACUUGGAUCCGCUCUUUGAAGCUUGGCUUUCUUUCUUAUUGUGGUUUAGUAACAGUGCAAAUAGAUAAAUGAAUCACUUAAAGCACAUUUGUUAAUGAUUAAUAUCUGAUAAAAAAAAAAAAAAAAAAAAAAAAAAAAGUCCACUAGGUUUACAAGAAACAGUCGAUCAGUCACAAUCCAUACAGUUAUCUCCAGAAAAGUUGACGGCUGUGUGGCAAAUUUGAUUGGCUAACUGGCCAAAAAAAACAAAAAAACCAACAAGAGCUCUGCUGGACGACAGUUUAUGCAUCAGAAACUGUUCAGUAAUCUACAUUUUUUGUAGACUGUUUUGAGAGAUAUUGCAGUCUGUUAAAAUAAUAAACCUGGGAAAUAUUGGAAAGUCUGGCACUUGACUGUUUUUGUGCGCAUCCGGCAUGCUCUAUCUUCUCAG